GCGUGCCUAAUGCAUGCAAGUCGCACGACCCAGACUUCGGUCUGGAGAGUGGCGCACGGCUGAGGAACACGUGGGUAACCUACCCCGGCGUGGGGGACAACGGCCCGAAAGGGUCGCUAAUCCCGCAUACGCUCCUACGGGAGGAAAGCAGUGAUGCGCGCUGGGAUGGGCCUGCGGCCCAUCAGGUCGUUGGUGGGGUAAUGGCUCACCAAGCCAAUGACGGGUCCCUGGUCUGAGAGGACGACCAGGCAGACUGGGACUGAGACACGGCCCAGACUCCUACGGGAGGCAGCAGCAAGGAAUUUUCCGCAAUGGGCGCAAGCCUGACGGAGCAACGCCGCGUGCCGGAUGACGGCCUUCGGGUUGUAAACGGCUUUUAUCGGGGAAGAAACGGACGGUACCCGGUGAAUAAGCCCCGGCUAACUCCGUGCCAGCAGCCGCGGUAAUACGGAGGGGGCAAGCGUUGUCCGGACUUACUGGGCGUAAAGCGUGCGUAGGCGGCAGCGUGCGUCGGGACUGAAAGCGCCCCACUUAACGGGGCGAGGUGUCUCGAUACGACGCAGCUCGAGGCAGUGAGAGGUUGGUAGAAUUCCGGGUGUAGUUGUGAAAUGCGUAGAUAUCCGGAGGAAUGCCGGUGGCGUAAGCGACCAACUGGCACUGGCCUGACGCUGAGGCACGAAAGCGUGGGGAGCAAACCGGAUUAGAUACCCGGGUAGUCCACGCCGUAAACGAUGUCGGCUUGGUGUUUGGGGGUGUGAAAGCAUCCUUGAGUACCGUAGCUCACGCGAUAAGCCGACCGCCUGGGGACUACGAGCGCAAGCUUAAAACUCAAAGGAAUUGACGGGGGCCCGCACAAGCAGCGGAGCGUGUGGUUUAAUUCGACGCAACGCGAAGAACCUUACCCAGGUUGGACAUGUAGCUGCAAGCGCACAGAAAUGUGUGACCUUCGAGGGUGCUACACAGGUGCUGCAUGGCUGUCGUCAGCUCGUGUCGUGAGAUGUUGGGUUAAGUCCCGCAACGAGCGCAACCCUCGUCUUUAGUUGCCAGCAUUAAGUUGGGCACUCUAGAGAGACUGCCGGUGACAAACCGGAGGAAGGUGGGGAUGACGUCAAGUCAGCAUGCCCCUUACGCUCUGGGCGACACACGUACUACAAUGGUCGGGACAGAGGGCAGCGAACCUGCGAAGGCAAGCUAAUCCCAGCAAACUCGGCCUCAGUUCAGAUCGCAGGCUGCAACUCGCCUGCGUGAAGGAGGAAUCGCUAGUAAUCGCCGGUCAGAAUACGGCGGUGAUCCGUUCCCGGGCAUUGUACACACCGCCCGUCACACCAUGGAAGCUG
Molecule: ribosomal RNA, 1337 nt
Filed under: uncultured organism
Description: bacterial SSU rRNA
Rfam family: Bacterial small subunit ribosomal RNA
Source: RNAcentral